RNAcentral lists this ribosomal RNA (253 nucleotides) under uncultured bacterium. RNAcentral describes it as "partial 16S ribosomal RNA". It matches the Rfam family "Bacterial small subunit ribosomal RNA", at positions 524 to 776 of the family's 1533-position model. The record is from RNAcentral.
UACAGAGGCCUCGAGCGUUAGGCGGAAUCACUGGGCUUAAAGCGUGUGUAGGCGGACUUCUAAGUACCUUGUGAAAUCCCACGGCUCACCCGUGGAACUGCUUGGUAUACUGGUUGUCUUGAGCCUUCUAGGGGCGAGUGGAACAAAUGGUGGAGCGGUGAAAUGCGUAGAUAUCAUUUGGAACGCCAAUGGUGAAGACAACUCGCUGGGGAAGUGCUGACGCUGAGACACGAAAGCCAGGGGAGCGAACGGG